AGUCUGGUGCCAGCAGCCGCGGUAAUUCCAGCUCCAAUAGCGUAUAUUAAAAUUGUAGCAGUUAAAAAGCUCGUAGUUGGAUUUCUGGUUUGGCGCACUUGGCCCGCCACGGUUACGUGGUUGUGUGCCGGUGUGCGCCUACCAUCCAUCUAGAGAACUAUUCCGCCCUUCACUGGGUUGGGGUAGGUAUCUAGAUCUUUUACUUUGAAAAAAUUAGAGUGUUUAAAGCAGGCUUGUGCUAUGAAUACAUUAGCAUGGAAUAAUAAUUUAGGACUUUGGUCUUAUUUUGUUGGUUUCUAGGACUGAAGUAAUGAUUGAUAGGGAUAGUUGGGGGUGCUAGUAUUCAGCGGCCAGAGGUGAAAUUCUUGGAUUCGCUGAAGACUAACUUAUGCGAAAGCAUUCACCAAGGAUGUCUUCUUUAAUCAAGAACGAAAGUUGGGGGAUCGAAGACGAUCAGAUACCGUCGUAGUCUCAACCAUAAACUAUGCCGACUAGGGAUGAGUGAACGUUGCUUAUUCGACUUCAUUCGCACCUUAUGAGAAAUCAAAGUCUUUGGGUUCCGGGGGGAGUAUGGUCGCAAGGCUGAAACUUAAAGGAAUUGACGGAAGGGCACCACCAGGAGUGGAGCCUGCGGCUUAAUUUGACCCAACACGGGAAAACUUACCAGGUCCAGACAUAGUAAGGAUUGACAGAUUGAAGAUCUUUCUUGAUUCUAUGGGUGGUGGUGCAUGGCCGUUCUUGCUUGGUGGAGUGAUUUGUCUGGUUAAUUCCGUUAACGAACGAGACCUCGACCUGCUAAAUAGUUUGAUGAAUGCUCCGGCAUUGAUUUACGACUUCUUAGAGGGACUAUCGGUGAUUUAGCCGAUGGAAGUUCGAGGCAAUAACAGGUCUGUGAUGCCCUUAGAUGUCCUGGGCCGCACGAGCGCUACACUGAUACGUUCAUCGAGCUUACAACCUUGGUUGAGAGGCCUGGGUAAUCUUUUUAAACCGUAUCGUGCUGGGGAUAGAUUAUUGUAAUUUUUAAUCUUCGACGAGGAAUUCCUAGUAAACGCUGGUCAUCAACCAGCAUUGAUUACGUCCCUGCCCUUUGUACACACCGCCCGUCGCUACUACCGAUUGAAUGGCUUAGUGAGCUUCAGGGAUUGUUCUAGCUGGAAGGUUCUCCUUCCUACUAGAUCCGAGAACUGAAUCAAACUUGAUCAUUUAGAGGAAGUAAAGUCGUAACAAGGUUUCCGUAGGUGAACCUGCGGAAG
This 1253-nucleotide ribosomal RNA is filed under the name metagenome. RNAcentral describes it as "SSU rRNA". It matches the Rfam family "Eukaryotic small subunit ribosomal RNA", at positions 558 to 1823 of the family's 1831-position model. The record is from RNAcentral.